Molecule: ribosomal RNA, 492 nt
Filed under: uncultured bacterium
Lineage: Bacteria
Description: partial 16S ribosomal RNA
Rfam family: Bacterial small subunit ribosomal RNA
Source: RNAcentral
AGUGAACGCUGGCGGUAGGCCUAACACAUGCAAGUCGAACGGCAGCACAGUAAGAGCUUGCUCUUACGGGUGGCGAGUGGCGGACGGGUGAGGAAUACAUCGGAAUCUACUUUUUCGGGGGGGAUAACGUAGGGAAACUUACGCUAAUACCGCAUACGACCUACGGGUGAAAGCAGGGGAUCUUCGGACCUUGCGCGAUUGAAUGAGCCGAUGUCGGAUUAGCUAGUUGGCGGGGUAAAGGCCCACCAAGGCGACGAUCCGUAGCUGGUCUGAGAGGAUGAUCAGCCACACGGGAACGGAGCCAGGGUCCAGACUCCUACGGGAGGCAGCAGUGGGGAAUAUUGGACAAUGGGCGCAAGCCUGAUCCAGCCAGACCGAGUGGGUGAAGAAGGCCUUCGGGUUGUAAAGACCUUUUGUUGGGAAAGAAAAGCAGCAGGUUAAUACCCCGCUGUUCUGACGGUACCCAAAGAAUAAGCACCGGCUAACUUCGUG